Chinchilla lanigera (long-tailed chinchilla) is the source of this 1240-nucleotide long non-coding RNA. RefSeq lists it as uncharacterized. The transcript has 3 exons. Lineage: Eukaryota; Metazoa; Chordata; Mammalia; Rodentia; Chinchillidae. The record is from RefSeq and is a predicted model, not a curated record.
CUGACAACCGGCCUGGCUGUAAAGAAACCCUCCCCUUCCUGUGUCCAGCAGCGCUCCAUGAGGGCCGCCUGGGGAGGGAUGGAAGGCCAUCAUUGACAACGAGCCUGGGAGACCAAGGGACACAAGAUCUCAGCAUGUGCACAGCGGCCUGGGCAGAAGGAACACACUCAAAGCUGCCAGAAGGUGCCAGAACAGCAUCUAUGUUCAGGGGCUCCAGAUAUUAUGGAAGUGGCCUGGAAACUACUUGUUUAUUGAUCUUGAGGAUCCAAGGAUUCAAAGAAACAGAGGAAAUUCAAUCAAGAAUCCACCUUGGAGCAUCUAGAGGUCAUUUGGGUGACUAGCUCUAUGGUCCCUCAGAUGUCAGCAGAGACCCCCGCAGACGUGGCCGCCUCCUCCUCUCGCAAACUGUAACCCAAGCCGGUGUCGGUAUGUUUAUUUCUCCCCAGGUCUCGUUCUCCCCUGGGGUGAGAGUCCCCAGAAGGGGGGUGCUGUGCGGCACCCACAUUCUCUUUUAUUUGCCUUGGUACCUGUUGGCAGUACUUAAUAGUGACAUCCAUCGGGAGAGCUGGUGCACCACAUACACACACAUGCUUAAAGGAGGUGAGCGCAGCAGUCACUGCCAGGAGAAGCGAUCGAGGUAGAACUUCUGUGUCCUCCACCAGGGGUCAGUACGACUUUUAUGAGACUCCCAGCAUGACGUCCCGGUGUAGAAGAGGGUAAUUUCUUUGUCACCAUUUGUCCCUCAGAAAACAGCAACAAGGAGUUUCUGAUAGAAUUGCAGACUCUAGGAUCGCAUCCUGGAUCGAGUGAAUCCGACACUCUGGAGCUGGGACCCAGCACUCUGUCUAAACCAUCUGGUGACGUGACCCCUGCUGACAUUUGAGAGCCACUGCUGUCAUUCUUCUAACUCAUUCCUGCCUCAGGACCUUUGAACUCGAGAGACCCUAGGCCUGGAGCACUCCUCAAGGUCUUUCCUCAUCAGCCCUGUCAGCUGAACUGUUAGCUCACCUCAGAAGCCACCGCUGACUUCUCCUGUCUGCCUCCCUAGUCUUCCUCACCCCAAUCUGUGGCCUUGUCUCUGGAAUUUCUCCACAGUGAUCAGAGAUUACCUUGUUCAUUUAUUCACUUGCUAUUUUAUUAUCUGACUCCCCCAUUUGAAUGAUAGCAGAAACCGCCCCUCUUUGGUACCACUCAGCCCCGUACCUGUGCCCAGCACAUAGUAGGUUCUUAAUAAAAACUU